Molecule: ribosomal RNA, 495 nt
Filed under: Veillonella parvula
Lineage: Bacteria; Bacillati; Bacillota; Negativicutes; Veillonellales; Veillonellaceae
Description: bacterial SSU rRNA
Rfam family: Bacterial small subunit ribosomal RNA
Source: RNAcentral
GACGAACGCUGGCGGCGUGCUUAACACAUGCAAGUCGAACGAAGAGCGAUGGAAGCUUGCUUCUAUCAAUCUUAGUGGCGAACGGGUGAGUAACGCGUAAUCAACCUGCCCUUCAGAGGGGGACAACAGUUGGAAACGACUGCUAAUACCGCAUACGAUCUAAUCUCGGCAUCGAGGAUAGAUGAAAGGUGGCCUCUACAUGUAAGCUAUCACUGAAGGAGGGGAUUGCGUCUGAUUAGCUAGUUGGAGGGGUAACGGCCCACCAAGGCGAUGAUCAGUAGCCGGUCUGAGAGGAUGAACGGCCACAUUGGGACUGAGACACGGCCCAGACUCCUACGGGAGGCAGCAGUGGGGAAUCUUCCGCAAUGGACGAAAGUCUGACGGAGCAACGCCGCGUGAGUGAUGACGGCCUUCGGGUUGUAAAGCUCUGUUAAUCGGGACGAAAGGCCUUCUUGCGAAUAGUUAGGAGGAUUGACGGUACCGGAAUAGAAAGCC